AGAGUUUGAUCCUGGCUCAGAGUGAACGCUGGCGGCAGGCCUAACACAUGCAAGUCGAACGGCAGCACAGCAGUAGCAAUACUGUGGGUGGCGAGUGGCGGACGGGUGAGGAAUACAUCGGAAUCUACCUUGUCGUGGGGGAUAACGUACGGAAACUUACGCUAAUACCGCAUACGACCUACGGGUGAAAGCGGCGGACCGCAAGGCGUCGCGCGAUUGGAUGAGCCGAUGUCCGAUUAGCUAGUUGGCGGGGUAAUGGCCCACCAAGGCGACGAUCGGUAGCUGGUCUGAGAGGAUGAUCAGCCACACUGGAACUGAGACACGGUCCAGACUCCUACGCGGACGCACGCACGUGGGGAAUAUUUGGACAAUGGGGCGCAAGCCUGAUCCAGCCAUGCCGCGUGUGUGAAGAAGGCCUUCGGGUUGUAAAGCACUUUUGUCCGGAAAGAAAAGCACUGGGUUAAUACCCUGGUGUCAUGACGGUACCGGAAGAAUAAGCACCGGCUAACUUCGUGCCCAGCAGCCGCGGUAAUACGAAGGGUGCAAGCGUUACUCGGAAUUACUGGGCGUAAAGCGUGCGUAGGUGGUGAGUUAAGUCUGUCNUGAAAGCCCCGGGCUCAACCUGGGAAUGGCCAUGGAUACUGGCCUCCCUAAAGUGCGGUAANAAGG
This 669-nucleotide ribosomal RNA is filed under the name uncultured bacterium. Its description in RNAcentral is "bacterial SSU rRNA". It matches the Rfam family "Bacterial small subunit ribosomal RNA", at positions 8 to 659 of the family's 1533-position model. The record is from RNAcentral.